Molecule: ribosomal RNA, 497 nt
Filed under: uncultured bacterium
Lineage: Bacteria
Description: partial 16S ribosomal RNA
Rfam family: Bacterial small subunit ribosomal RNA
Source: RNAcentral
GAUGAACGCUGGCGGCGUGCCUAAUACAUGCAAGUCGAGCGAACGGACGAGAAGCUUGCUUCUCUGAUGUUAGCGGCGGACGGGUGAGUCACACGUGGAUAACCUACCUAUAAGACUGGGAUAACUUCGGGAAACCGGAGCUAAUACCGGAUAAUAUUUUGAACCGCAUGGUUCAAAAGUGAAAGACGGUCUUGCUGUCACUUAUAGAUGGAUCCGGGCUGCAUUAGCUAGUUGGUAAGGUAACGGCUUACCAAGGCGACGAUGCAUAGCCGACCUGAGAGGGUGAUCGGCCACACUGGAACUGAGACACGGUCCAGACUCCUACGGGAGGCAGCAGUAGGGAAUCUUCCGCAAUGGGCGAAAGCCUGACGGAGCAACGCCGCGUGUGUGAUGAAGGUCUUCGGAUCGUAAAACUCUGUUAUUAGGGAAGAACAGAUGUGUAAGUAAAUGUGCACAUCUUGACGGUACCUAAUCAAAAAGCCACGGCUAACUACGUG